AGCUUAACGGACAAAGCAAUAGUCUUCGGAACUAUUGAUGAGGGUUCAAAUCCCCCCAGGC
This 61-nucleotide transfer RNA is filed under the name bacterium. RNAcentral's name for it is "tRNA-Arg". It matches the Rfam family "tRNA", at positions 9 to 63 of the family's 71-position model. From Rfam's summary of the family: Transfer RNA (tRNA) molecules are approximately 80 nucleotides in length. Their secondary structure includes four short double-helical elements and three loops (D, anti-codon, and T loops). The record is from RNAcentral.